UGCAGCAUAUAUCUUAAUGAAGGUCACAGUGAGUCAUGAUGUAGCUUCAUGUAAAUCCCUUCCAUGGACUAUUUUUAAUGGCCAGAUAAAUUCUCCACACCUUCAGGGCUGCUGUCAGUGUGAUGACAUUGAAGAAGCCUGACUGUUGGGUGUCAGCACUGGGAGCUUGUUCCCUAAGAGGCAUCAACAAACACAUCCCUGUUAACAUGAAUUCCACAGUUUUGUGUGUGGCUGGGAGUCAGAAGAGGAUACGGUAAACUCAGGGCGCAAAAAAAGAAGACCUGUUGGUUCUUUCACAAGGAUAACAUAUCUGAGGCCAUGUAGGCAGGACGACUUCACCCAAGACCACCUUCACUGAAGAGCUCUGCUCUCACACUCUCACUAAGUGGAAACAAAUUAGCAUGCUCCUGCUUUCUCCAGCCCUCCCUGGCCACCAAGUGAUCUGUCAGACGCGACCUUGUUCUCCGUCAUCUCAACAAACUCUUUUUGUCACUGCACUCUAAAACAAUUCAAUAGGCUGCUCUGUUUCACAGUUGGGUUGCGAGAAACUGUACCUCCUAGGGCAAAAGAGAGCUUCAAAUAUUUAAUAUUUCUUUAUAUAUCUUCGUAAACUACAGUGCUGCUGAGAUAUCGUCAUCUUGCAACAAAAUGCAAAAAUGAUGUCUGUCUUUGGGGAAAUUUGGUGUUAAAGUAGUGGAAUGCGGAAAGCAUUGCUGGUGUUAUAGUACAAUUGUGAAGGGUAAUCUUACUUUAUGUGUGUGCCUCAUACUGAAGAACAGGCCAAUGUAAGUUUAAAAAUAAUUCAAAAGUACAGCUGCAUGCUCAAGGGUUCCUCUAAAAAUUCGGAGACCCCUGAAAACAACAAAAAUAGCAAAUGUCUGCAUUUCCUGGCAUUUUCGAAGGCCUGUGUGCACUGUAGCCCUUGAAUCAUUCUGUGUUUUCCCUGCUAUUCAGCCCCCCUGCCUGCAGCACAUUUUUUCUGACAAUGAAUAGGCCUGAUCUCUCUUUAUUCUAACUAUCUGGA
Molecule: long non-coding RNA, 1024 nt
Organism: Epinephelus moara (kelp grouper)
Lineage: Eukaryota; Metazoa; Chordata; Actinopteri; Perciformes; Serranidae
Exons: 3
Source: RefSeq, a predicted model, not a curated record